This 253-nucleotide ribosomal RNA is filed under the name uncultured bacterium. RNAcentral describes it as "partial 16S ribosomal RNA". It matches the Rfam family "Bacterial small subunit ribosomal RNA", at positions 524 to 776 of the family's 1533-position model. The record is from RNAcentral.
UACGAGGGGGGCAAAUGUUGUUCGGAAUCACUGGGCGUAAAGGGAGCGUAGGCGGGUUCUUAAGUUAGGUGUUUAAUCCCGGGACCCAACCCCGGACCGGCACUUAAAACUGGGAAUCUUGAAUAGUGGAGAGGUCAGUGGAAUUGGAGGUGUAGCGGUGGAAUGCGUAGAGAUCUCCAAGAACACCAGUUGCGAAGGCGGCUGACUGGACACAUAUUGACGCUGAGGCUCGAAAGCAUGGGGAGCAAACAGG